This is an RNA transcript of Corylus avellana, 3022 nucleotides long. It is a transcript of the gene named ETHYLENE-INSENSITIVE3-like 3, with no coding region annotated. Lineage: Eukaryota; Viridiplantae; Streptophyta; Magnoliopsida; Fagales; Betulaceae. The record is from RefSeq and is a predicted model, not a curated record.
AGCCCCUUUAGCCGCCUCAGCAUCUCUCUCUCUCUCUGCACUGAAUUUUCAGCUAUAAAUAUAUAAUUUUUUUUUUUUUUUCUGGCCAAAACUCAUAUGCCUUUUCUGGGUUCAUCUUUAUCUUCCUCUCUUGUUGGUCAGCUCCUCGAUAAACGAAGGAAAAAAAGAUUCCAUUUUUGAGGGUUUGCAAAGUUCACAGAAUCACAUUCAAAUCCGGGACUUUUCAUACUAGAUGAUUGAAGUUGAAGAGCUUGGAGCUGAAAUUUGGUAGUGCGUUUUUGUUUUCUGGACGAAAGGUAGCGACUGUUUAAGAUCAUCAGAAAGAUGGGGUUUUGAUGAAUCUUUUGGAGUUCUUUGGAUCUUAUCAAUAAUUAUGCCUUGUUUGGUUGCCGACAAAAGGUAGGAAUAGAAAAGAAACCACAUACUCGAAGAAUUUGAUUGUGGGUUGAUCUUGUUAUCCAAUCGAAGUGAACCUUAUGCUUUUAAGGAGCCUGGUACAACUGUUUGUUUUAGUCGAAUCAUUUUUCUCAGCAACCAAGUGAGGGCUAUUGUAAAUUGAUUCAAUGGAGCACCUUAUGAUGGUUGAUGACACAUUGGGCGACAGUUCAGAUUUAGAAAUUGAUGACAUUAGGUGUGAAAACAUAGCGGAGAAAGAUGUUAGUGAUGAAGAGAUAGAAGCAGAUGAUUUGGAGAGGCGAAUGUGGAAGGACCGUAUCAAACUCAAAAGGUUGAAGGAAAAACAGAAACUUGCAGCGCAGCUAGCUGCAGAGAAGCAGAAGCCCAAGCAGACCUCUGAUCAGGCUAGGAGGAAGAAAAUGUCUAGAGCACAAGAUGGGAUUCUCAAGUAUAUGCUGAAGCUGAUGGAAGUGUGCAAAGCUCGGGGAUUUGUGUAUGGUAUCAUUCCUGAGAAGGGCAAGCCAGUGAGUGGUGCUUCUGAUAACAUAAGGGCUUGGUGGAAAGAAAAGGUGAAGUUUGAUAAGAAUGGGCCAGCGGCCAUAGCCAAGUAUGAAGCCGAGUGUCUUGCCAUGACUGAAGCAGAUAACAUUCGAAAUGGGAACUCUCAGAGCAUUCUGCAAGACCUUCAAGAUGCAACUCUUGGGUCACUUUUGUCUUCUUUGAUGCAACACUGUGACCCCCCUCAAAGGAAGUACCCACUAGAAAAGGGAGUUCCGCCACCUUGGUGGCCUACUGGGAAUGAAGAUUGGUGGGUUAAAUUAGGGCUACCCCAUGGUCAAAGUCCUCCUUAUAAGAAACCACACGAUUUGAAGAAGAUGUGGAAAGUUGGAGUGUUAACAGCUGUGAUAAAGCAUAUGUCACCUGACAUUGCUAAGAUAAGGAGGCAUGUCCGCCAGUCAAAGUGCUUACAGGAUAAGAUGACAGCAAAGGAGAGUGCCAUCUGGUUGGGGGUUUUAAGCAGAGAGGAAGCCCUAAUUCGGCAGCCCAGUAGUGAUAAUGGGGCAUCUGGUGUAACUGAGACACGACGAGGUGGCCGUGGUGAAAAUAAGCAAGCCGCGAUUAGUAGUGACAGUGACUAUGAUGUAGAUGGUGUUGACGAUGGUGUUGGUUCUGUUUCAUCUAAAGAUGAUAGGAGAAAUCAGCUGAUGGAUGUAGAACCUUCAGACAACCUACGAAAUAACACUCCUGUCCAGGAUAAAGAUCCAGGGGAAAAGCAACCGAGGAGAAAAAGAGCUCGUGUCAAAUCAAACCCUGCUGAUCAAGUGCCUGCACCGUCUCAAAAUGAACAUCUACAUGUUGAGCCGAGAAUCUCUCUGCCUGAUGUAAACCACACUGAUGUGGAGUCGGUUGGAUUCCAGACCCAUGGAGAUCAACAGGAAAAUGGUAUAAUUGCAGCUUUGAGGCCCCUGGAGAAAGAUAUUGAUGUCCAACCCCAUCUAGGUGCAUCUGAAUUUAAUAAUUUCUCUGCUCUACCUUCUGACAAUGUAAUUUCCACUCAGAGCAUGUAUGUGGAUGGAAGGCCUUUGCUUUUUCCUCUGGUGCAAAACACUGGGAUGCAUCAUGGAGAUGCUAGCAACUUGUAUAAUCGGCCAGGGGAAUAUGGGCACACACAUGACUGGCAGCACUCUCAGAAUGUAAUGAAUGAAUCUCACAUUAGGCCAGAGGAUGUUGGAGUCCAUGUCCGCGCACUGGAUAGAAGUGCAAACGAGAUUCCUGGAGGGGACUUGACCUGCUUUGCGAUGUUUAACGCCGAGCAAAUUCCACCUGUUGAUUCUCAGUUUGGCCCUGCAAUUGAUAGCCUGUCGUUAGAUUGUGGAGGAUUGAGCAGCCCCUUCAAUCUUGGAAUUGAUGGCCCGUGUCCAGUGGAGGACUUUUGGCUGGAUGAUGAUUUGAUCCAAUGCUUUGGCGCGUAAACAUUAUUAGAUUUGAUACAUCAGAGCUUAGAUUGGACUGCAGAAGUGCAGCAUCCAUUAAUGACCAAGCUUGAGGUGAUGGAUGUAGAACCUUCAGACAAUCUAGGCAAUAACACUCCUGCUGCUGUCCAGGAUAAAGUUCCAGUGGAAAAGCAGCCCGGUAGAAAAAGAGCCCGUGUCAGACCAAAACAAACAGUUGAUGUCCAGCACCAGGUAGCUGCAUCUGAAUUUACUCAGCACAAUCAUGGAGAUGCUGGCAACUCAUAUAACCCAUUAAGGGAAAAUGGGUCUCAGCUAGAGGAAGUUGGGGUGGAUACAAGUGCAAAGGAGAUUCCUGCAGGGGAGUCGCAGGGCAAUGCAAAAGACAUGCUUAACAACGAGGAGCAAAGUCGAGCAAAUGAUUCUCGGCUUGGCUCUGUGUUUGAUUCCCUGUCAUUAGAUUGUGGAGGUUUGAACAGACCAUUCAGUCAUGGAAUUGAUCGUCCGAGAAUAUUGGAGGAUAUUUGGCUGGAUCAGGUAUUGGGCGCAUUUUGAUAAGUCAGAGCCUGAUGUUUCUUGUCAACAUGUAUCCUAUUUUAUUAUUGGAUUUAAGAAUUUGGCCUUGUGAUUCUUUUUUUGGUGUUAUUUGUGUCCCAAACAGGCACUUGUAUUAU